UGAGGAUGGCGGACGGGUGAGUAACGCGUAAGGAACUUGCCUCUUGGUCUGGGACAACUGUUGGAAACGACAGCUAAUACCGGAUAUUAUAAGAUUCUCGCAUGGGAAACUUAUGAAAGCUAUAUGCGCCAAGAGAGAGCCUUGCGUUCCAUUAGCUAGUUGGUGGGGUAACGGCCCACCAAGGCGACGAUGGAUAGCCGGCCUGAGAGGGUGAACGGCCACAAGGGGACUGAGACACGGCCCUUACUCCUACGGGAGGCAGCAGUGGGGAAUAUUGGACAAUGGGCCACAAGCCUGAUCCAGCAAUUCUGUGUGCACGAUGAAGGUCUUCGGAUUGUAAAGUGCUUUCAGUUGGGAAGAAGAAAGUGACGGUACCAACAGAAGAAGCGACGGCUAAAUACGUGCCAGCAGCCGCGGUAAUACGUAUGUCGCAAGCGUUAUCCGGAUUUAUUGGGCGUAAAGCGCGUCUAGGCGGAAAAAUAAGUCUGAUGUUAAAAUGCGGGGCUCAACUCCGUAUUGCGUUGGAAACUGUUUUUCUAGAGUACUGGAGAGGUGGGCGGAACUACAAGUGUAGAGGUGAAAUUCGUAGAUAUUUGUAGGAAUGCCGAUGGAGAAGUCAGCUCACUGGACAGAUACUGACGCUAAAGCGCGAAGCGUGGGGAGCAAACAGGAUUAGAUACCCUGGUAGUCCACGCCGUAAACGAUGAUC
Molecule: ribosomal RNA, 709 nt
Filed under: uncultured bacterium
Lineage: Bacteria
Description: bacterial SSU rRNA
Rfam family: Bacterial small subunit ribosomal RNA
Source: RNAcentral